RNAcentral lists this non-coding RNA (23 nucleotides) under Arabidopsis thaliana (thale cress). The record is from RNAcentral. Lineage: Eukaryota; Viridiplantae; Streptophyta; Magnoliopsida; Brassicales; Brassicaceae.
ACACCGGAUGGCAAUGUGGUGUA